AACGAGCGUCUUCGCGUUCUGAGAGACCGGGAUCGCCCGGUCCCCGCGCACCUUGAGGUGACUCGUGGCUGGGGAGUGCGAGUGCCUGUGCACGGGCCGGCGAUCUCGUACCGGGGGGACCGGCGGGCGGAGUGGGGCCGCCCGUGGGUUCAACCGGUCAUGCCGGGGCGGGACGCCACUGCCGUGGGGACGGCGGCCCGCCCCGGCGUUCGUGUGCCGGGGCCCGGCCUUUGGACGAGGACCGGCUUCCGAAUGGGGCCC
This 261-nucleotide unclassified non-coding RNA is filed under the name plant metagenome. RNAcentral's name for it is "partial contains 5.8S ribosomal RNA, internal transcribed spacer 2, and large subunit ribosomal RNA". The record is from RNAcentral.